AUGUUAACAUCAGAAUCCUCCUCCCUAAGUUUUUUUAAUGCUUUAGCACACUCCGCCAACCCUGAUGUCUUAGCCGUGUCUAAAUCCUGGCUUAGGAACGCCGCCAAAAAUUCUGAAAUGUCCAUCCCCAACUACAGCAUUUUCCGCCAAGAUAUAACUGCCAAAGGGAGUGGAGUUGCAAUCUACUGCAGAGACAGCCUGCAGAGUUCUGUCAUGCUAUCCAGGUCUGUGCCCAAACAGUUCGAGCUUCUACUUUUAAAAAUCCACCUUUCCAAAAAUAAGUCUCUCACUGUUGCCGCUUGUUAUAGACCCCCCUCAGCCCCCAGCGGUGCCCUGGACACCAUAUGUGAAUUGAUCGCCCGCCAUUUAUCUUCAGAGUUUGUACUGUUAGGCGAUCUAAACUGGGAUAUGCUUAACACCCCGGCCGUCCUACAAUCUAAGCUAGAUGCCCUCAAUCUCACACAAAUUAUCAUGGAACCUACUGGGUACAACCCUAAAUCUGUAAACACGGGCACCCUCAUAGAUAUCAUCCUGACCAACCUGCCCUCUAAAUACACCUCUGCUGUUUUCAACCAGGAUCUCAGUGAUCACUGCCUCAUUGCCUGUGUCCGUAAUGGGUCCGCGGUCAAACGACCACCCCUCAUCACAGUCAAACGCUCCCUAAAACACUUCAGCGAGCAGGCCUUUCUAAUCGACCUGGUCCAGGUAUCCUGGAAGGAUAUUGACCUCAUUCCGUCAGUAGAGGAUGCCUGGUUAUUCUUUAAAAGUGCCUUCCUCACCAUCUUAAAUAAGCAUGCCCCAUUAAAAAAAUGUAGAACUAAGAACAGAUAUAGCCCUUGGUUCUCUCCAGACCUGACUGCCCUUGACCAUGCCAACAACAUCCUGUGGUGCACUGCAUUAGCAUCGAAUAGCCCCCGAGAUAUGCUACUUUUCAGGGAAGUGAGGAACCAAUAUACACAGGCAGUUAGGAAAGCUAAGGCUAGCUUUUUCAAACAGAAGUUUGCAUCCUGUAGCACAAACUCUAAAAAGUUAUGGGACGCUGUAAAGUCCAUGUAG
This is a long non-coding RNA of Oncorhynchus mykiss (rainbow trout), 1056 nucleotides long. NCBI's taxonomy places the organism in Eukaryota, Metazoa, Chordata, Actinopteri, Salmoniformes, Salmonidae. The record is from Ensembl.